UUCCGGUUGAUCCUGCCGGACCUGACUGCUAUCGGAUUGAUACUAAGCCAUGCUAGUCUUUGCAGUAAUGCAAGGCAUACGGCUCAGUAACACGUAGUCAACUUACCCUAUGGACGAGGAUAAUCUCGGGAAACUGAGCAUAAUACUCGAUAGAUCAUAAUGCCUGGAAUGGUUUAUGGUUAAAAUGAUUCGUCGCCAUAGGAUGGGACUGCGGCCUAUCAGCUUGUUGGUGAGGUAAUGGCCCACCAAGGCGAUUACAGGUACGGGCUCUGAGAGGAGAAGCCCGGAGAUGGGUACUGAGACAAGGACCCAGGCCCUAUGGGGCGCAGCAGGCGAGAAAACUUUGCAAUGUGCGAAAGCACGACAAGGUUAAUCCGAGUGAUUUCUGCUAAAGAAAUCUUUUGCAAGUCAUAAAACCACUAGUGAAUAAGGGGUGGGCAAGUUCUGGUGUCAGCCGCCGCGGUAAAACCAGCACCUCAAGUGGUCAGGAGGAUUAUUGGGCCUAAAGCAUCCGUAGCCGGCUCUGUAAGUUUUCGGUUAAAUCCAUGUGCUCAACGCAUGGGCUGCCGAAAAUACUGCAUAGCUAGGGAGUGGGAGAGGUAGACGGUACUCGGUAGGAAGGGGUAAAAUCCUUUGAUCUAUCGAUGACCACCUGUGGCGAAGGCGGUCUACCAGAACACGUUCGACGGUGAGGGAUGAAAGCUGGGGGAGCAAACCGGAUUAGAUACCCGGGUAGUCCCAGCUGUAAACGAUGCAGACUCGAUGAUGCAUUGGCAUAUAGCCAGUGCAGUGUCGCAGGGAAGCCGUUAAGUCUGCCGCCUGGGAAGUACGUACGCAAGUAUGAAACUUAAAGGAAUUGGCGGGGGAGCACCACAAGGGGUGAAGCCUGCGGUUCAAUUGGAGUCAACGCCGGG
Molecule: ribosomal RNA, 914 nt
Filed under: uncultured marine archaeon
Lineage: Archaea
Description: bacterial SSU rRNA
Rfam family: Archaeal small subunit ribosomal RNA
Source: RNAcentral